Molecule: unclassified non-coding RNA, 353 nt
Filed under: soil metagenome
Description: partial contains 5.8S ribosomal RNA, internal transcribed spacer 2, and large subunit ribosomal RNA
Rfam family: 5.8S ribosomal RNA (bases 1-120)
Source: RNAcentral
GAUGAAGAACGUAGCGAAAUGCGAUAAGUAAUGUGAAUUGCAGAAUUCAGUGAAUCAUCGAAUCUUUGAACGCACAUUGCGCCCGCCAGUAUUCUGGCGGGCAUGCCUGUUCGAGCGUCAUUACAACCCUCAGGCCCCCGGGCCUGGCGUUGGGGAUCGGCGGAAGCCCCCUGCGGGCACAACGCCGUCCCCCAAAUACAGUGGCGGUCCCGCCGCAGCUUCCAUUGCGUAGUAGCAAACACCUCGCAACUGGAGAGCGGCGCGGCCACGCCGUAAAACACCCAACUUCUGAAUGUUGACCUCGAAUCAGGUAGGAAUACCCGCUGAACUUAAGCAUAUCAAUAAGCGGAGGA